Molecule: ribosomal RNA, 250 nt
Filed under: uncultured prokaryote
Description: partial 16S ribosomal RNA
Rfam family: Bacterial small subunit ribosomal RNA
Source: RNAcentral
UACGUAGGUGGCAAGCGUUGUCCGGAAUUACUGGGUGUAAAGGGAGCGUAGGCGGGGGUGCAAGUCAGAAGUGAAAAUCGUGGGCUCAACUCACGACCUGCUUUUGAAACUGCAGCUCUUGAGUGAAGUAGAGGCAAGCGGAAUUCCCAGUGUAGCGGUGAAAUGCGUAGAUAUUGGGAGGAACACCAGUGGCGAAGGCGGCUUGCUGGGCUUUUACUGACGCUGAGGCUCGAAAGCGUGGGGAGCAAAC